CCACACGCUCUCCCUUUCUCUCUCUCUCCUUCUCUCUCUCUCUCGUCCGUCUGUUCUCUGCUCUCUCAUUCGCUCCGCCGGCUCGACGCCGGCUGUCAGUUCAUUUGCCGCGGCAGAGCAACAACUGGCUUCUUCAGCGCUGGGAGCGAAGAGGGGAAGGGGUGAGCGGAGGGAAGAGUGGAAGAAGAAAAAGUGGUAGAGGACGAGCAGCAAAGGAGUGGAGAAAGAGAGGAGGAGAAGAUCUUUUGUUAAACAUCCCUCUGCAGCAGCAUCAGCACCAGCGCCGCUCCCGCUGCUGGAUCCUCCGUCUCCUGCCGGGAUCUGCCUCCUCCUUCUCUUCAGGGAGCUCUUCCUGGAACUGGGAGGGGGAGGGAGACCAGCACCUCCCAGCUUGCUGCGGACCCUCGGCAAGGCAUCAGGAGGAAGGAAGGAGUGAAGGGGAGGGAAUUUUAGAGGAGGCCGUGAGGAGAGCGGAGGAGAGGCAACACCCUGGGUUACAGGAGCAGAGAAGAAGAAGAGAGGAUCUCUUUCUGCCAGGGCAGGGCCGAGUAGCAGGAACACACGUCAGCGCUGGAUGACGACUUCCAGGAGGCGGGGGCAGCGCAGCAAGGCCGCGGCCCAGAGGAGCCAUUGAUGGAUCCUUGCCUCACGCUGCAACGAGGCGUCUUCAAUCAAUGCCCCACUUUCUCUGUAUGUGUCUGUGUUGGCCACUGGAGCCUGAAGGGGGGCUGCUGAUGGCGGCGGCACUGGCCAAGGUGGCGGUGGUGGUGAUGCGAUGGCGGUGGCGCUGCUCACGUGCUUUCUGGCUUAGCUCCUGUUGUUUACUGAAAGACUCUCUUCGGUGACGGGUAUUCUUGGGUGGAUAAUACGGAUCACGUUGUUAUUGCUUAAGAAUACGCGUAGUCGAGGAGAGUCCUCUCUUCGCCCGACACCAGCAACACCCCCCCCCUCCCCCGACUCCCACCCACCCACCUCACCUCACCCCGACUCCCCCCCCCCCCACCCACGGAGGACUGUCAGGACGGGUGAAGCCACACCCCCAGUCUCCACCUCUUCUCUCAUCUCUGCAUUGCAAAGUUUUACUUCCUUGAGGUUGACCUCACGUACGUCUGUCCGUCCGUCUCUGUCUCUGUGGCGAUGGACCGCGCUGUGUUUCUGUGUGUGUGUCUGUUGGACGUGUUGCUUCGAGAUUGUUCGGGCUCACAGAGAAAACUUGUGAUCAUGUGACUCUCUGCAUGU
This 1239-nucleotide long non-coding RNA is filed under the name Cottoperca gobio. Its description in RNAcentral is "lncRNA (ENSCGOG00000019540.1)". The stretch from base 838 to 908 matches the Rfam family "mir-137 microRNA precursor family". The record is from RNAcentral. Lineage: Eukaryota; Metazoa; Chordata; Actinopteri; Perciformes; Bovichtidae.